RNAcentral lists this transfer RNA (76 nucleotides) under Brunnivagina elsteri CCALA 953. RNAcentral's name for it is "Calothrix elsteri CCALA 953 tRNA-Asn". It matches the Rfam family "tRNA". Rfam says of the family: Transfer RNA (tRNA) molecules are approximately 80 nucleotides in length. Their secondary structure includes four short double-helical elements and three loops (D, anti-codon, and T loops). Lineage: Bacteria; Bacillati; Cyanobacteriota; Cyanophyceae; Nostocales; Calotrichaceae. The record is from RNAcentral.
CAAAAGUUAGCUCAUUUGGUAGAGCGAUCGACUAUUAAUCGAUUUGUAACAGGUUCAAAUCCUGUACUUUUACCCA